AACGGCGAGUGAAGCGGGAAGAGCUCAAAUUUGAAAUCUUCAAGGUUCUACCUUGACGAAUUGUAGUUUAAAGAAGUGUUUUCUGUUAGAUGAGUAGCAAAAGUUCCUUGGAAUGGGACAUCAUAGAGGGUGAGAAUCCCGUAUUUGGUUAUUCAUUCUAGCUUUGUGAUACACUUUCAAAGAGUCGGAUUGUUUGGGAAUGCAGUCCAAAAUGGGUGGUAAAUUUCAUCUAAAGCUAAAUAUUGGCGAGAGACCGAUAGCGAACAAGUACCGUGAGGGAAAGAUGAAAAGAACUUUGAAAAGAGAGUUAAACAGUACGUGAAAUUGUCAAAAGGGAAGCGUUUGACACCAGUGUUGUUUUUCCGAAAAUCAAUUACGAAUGGCUUGAUUUUGUGUUGUAUUGACCUUAUCAGCUUUCUUCACUUUUUUCGAGUCUUUCUUAAUGCACUUUUCGGUUAACAAGUCAACAUCAAUUUCUUUUGUUGUAAAAGAGUAUUCGGAAGGUGGCUUUCUUUUCGGAGAAAGUGUUUAUAGCCCUAUACUUCUACAAUCGGAGAGAUUGAGGUCUGCAGCGUAGAUCCUUCGGGGUUAGAUACAUUUGUGCUAAGUUGUAGCUUUUCAUAGACAACUUGUUGACUAUGUUUAGUCAUGCGGCUUACUCGCUUAUGCUAUUUACCUAC
Molecule: ribosomal RNA, 680 nt
Filed under: Neocallimastigales sp.
Lineage: Eukaryota; Fungi; Neocallimastigomycota; Neocallimastigomycetes; Neocallimastigales
Description: partial large subunit ribosomal RNA
Rfam family: Eukaryotic large subunit ribosomal RNA
Source: RNAcentral